NNNNNNNNNNNNNNCUUGGCUCUGAUCGUAUGGUCUCCCCUAUCGUGAGUGUGUAUUGUCUAUGGUCACUUCUGGGCCUCACCUGAUGGUGCUGGGCCACGAUAUUGGCCCUUUGCCAGGCCAGUAGGUUCUCUGAGUCCUCCUGCACGGUGCUGCAAUCCAAACACAUCCAAGAAUGACGGUGCAUGAAUACCUUUCAAGGACCCAUGCAUCCGGGUGCUCCCCGUGGGCAGGUCCCUGUCCGUCUGACCGGAGCCAGAGACAACCCCAUAGCCCUGAGGGGCACAGGCUGGGCUGGAACAUCACACGCGGGCCCCCACUGCCUGUCUUUUGCUCGCCCACCUACAGUCCACCUUCCCAGCCACUGUCCCAGGACACGCCAUCACCCUGGGAUCACAGAGCGCUCCCACCCCGGUAACAGGAGCACACGGGCGGAGGACCCAGGAGGCUCUGGCAAAUGCCGAUCUGAUGCUCUGAUGCUCGGGGUGAUGUCUCCCAGCCCGGGGAGAUCGAAGGUUUCUCUGAGAUUCCACAAACACAACGACCGAGGGGAGAAAGCAAUGGAGUGGACUUCAUCAAAAUUAAAACCUGAUGCCAGCAAGAGUGCGACCACACUCCCCACCCUGAGGGCAAGGAUGCGUGAAUAUCCUGAGGGGGGGCCUGGGGGAAGCACCAGGGACUCCGCCCACAUUCCAGUGCGUGAAGAGCAAGCCUGUUCACCGGCCAGGGGGACCCAGCAGGCCCUGACUGUCCUCCCCUCACCACAUGGUGGGGCGGGGGGCGGGGUGUCAUCUCUGUCGGGGUCCAUGCAUCUAGGACAAGCUGGAAAGGUCAUGUAUUGGGUCUCCCUGCAUAGCACAGGCCUUACAGGGGAGUGGGGGUUCCAGGGAGCUGCCGGUCUCUGACUGCAGCCUCCUUCCCUGGACAGGGCCUUAGGGGGCUGCCCUCACCCCAUGGGGCUGUGGAAGGGCUGCAGGAGCUGCUCACGGUCAUCUCAUUGGGGUCGGGGUGUUUUGGACCCCAGCCCGGGAGGCCAGCGCCCCCACCCAGACCCACAGGCCCCAGAGUGGCCCCC
RNAcentral lists this long non-coding RNA (1075 nucleotides) under Vulpes vulpes (red fox). RNAcentral describes it as "lncRNA (ENSVVUG00000012443.1)". Lineage: Eukaryota; Metazoa; Chordata; Mammalia; Carnivora; Canidae. The record is from RNAcentral.